RNAcentral lists this unclassified non-coding RNA (228 nucleotides) under plant metagenome. Its description in RNAcentral is "partial contains small subunit ribosomal RNA and internal transcribed spacer 1". The stretch from base 1 to 46 matches the Rfam family "Eukaryotic small subunit ribosomal RNA", at positions 1786 to 1831 of the family's 1831-position model. The record is from RNAcentral.
AAGUCGUAACAAGGUCUCCGUAGGUGAACCUGCGGAGGGAUCAUUACCGAGUGAGGGUGCCCCCGGGCGCCCGACCUCCCAACCCUUUGUUUUGACCAACACCUCAGUUGCCACCUCAGUUGCCUCGGGGGUGACCCGGCCCUCUCGGGUCCGGGGCCCCCGCUGGACCACGACCAUCAACGCUGCAUCUCUGCGUCGGAGUCGAUUGAAUGCGAAUUCAAUCAAAAC